GUCUCAGUAGCGCAAUGGAUAGCACGUUGGUUUUAUAGUCCAAGGGUCAUGGGUUCGAAUCCCACCUGGGACG
This is a non-coding RNA of Trichonephila clavata, 73 nucleotides long. The record is from the annotation of a GenBank genome assembly. Lineage: Eukaryota; Metazoa; Arthropoda; Arachnida; Araneae; Nephilidae.